CUUUGAUUGCUGCAGCAUCCUCUUCAAACACAGCUAUUUCAAAUAAACUCAUUGCCAGAUACAGGACUAUAUAAAGAGCCAGAUGCCCCACCCCGGAAGUUCCCUUUAUUUUAGAGUUCUGAUUGGCUUGGUAUCUGACCAUUCGUUUGCUAGUUUUCCCGUUAUUGCUCUUAUGUUUUAAAUUCCCAGCAAAGGUGAACUUGUAAAACCCUAGGCACCUCAUCCUCGACCCCAAUAAAAGCAGAACCCUGGGCUGCCUGCUUCCUUUCUCUGCCUGUAGUCCUGCUGUGUAGCUGCAGGUGUGCCACAUACCCUUCAGGACUUAAAUGGUUGAGAAAAAGGCAAAGGGAGCCCACCUGGGGAUAAACAACUGAAGAUAACUGACAUAGCUUUUGGAAUGCAACAUAGCAAGACAGCAAUGUGUGGAAGGCAUUUCCUAGGGUAUGAAAAGGAUGCAGAUGAGAAUAGAAGACAUGGGCUCACAAUACAUUUUAAGAGGAAGUCAUCAGCAUUUUAAUCCUCUACAAGAACCAUAGACACCCACGCAGCUGUUGUCAGAAGAAAAGGAUUCAUGAAAGGCUGUUCUUGGCUGUGGCAUAGGUGACCCACAAGAGAAUUUGGUAACUUUGCCAACUCCUGAUUUCUAUGUCUUCAGGGGAAAGAAGUGAACAGACACAUCAUGCUGGGAAACUGCAGCUAACAUAUUAUCUAUUUCCAAAUAGUUCUAUGACAUGUUUUUGAUUGUGAUGACUCUUGAUGACAUCAUCUCCUCCUAAAAAAUAAAACUGAGAGCUUGAAUGAAAACCUCUAGAAUCUGCAAUUUUUUUCUUCCUGAAGAUAGGGAGGUAGAAGGAAAUAAGGAUGAGUACAGAUGUGUAUGUAUGUAUAAGUGAAUCACUUCACUGUACGGCAGAAAUUAUCACAACAUUGCAAAUCAACUACAAAUUUUUUAUUUAAAAAUGCCUUGCCAAAUAACUCUGUCACAACUACCCUUGAGACCUACUGGAGAUCUUUGUAUCUUUUUCUCUCUUUCCCUCCUUCCAUAUUCCUUCACUUCUCUCUCUGGUGUGAGUACUUUACCUUUUCAUUAAAACAUGAACAAUUGCUCUGUUUUACCUAAAUAAAUAUAACACCUCAACAUCACUUUAAUGUUAAAAGAACACAAUCUUAUUUUCCAUUCCAGAUUUGAAUGAUUUUUUGUUUCCUCUUAAACCUCAAGAUUAUGGGCCUACUCCACCAAUCUAUUAAAAAUGUCUUCUAAGAAAGAUCUUUGAAUUGCCCAAUUCCAAGAAAAACUGAGUCCAUAUUUACCCAACUGUUGAUGUUUGACACUGUGGAUAACAAUUGUUUUUCUUGAAAUUUUCAUCUUUUUUCACUUGAAAAUGAAUAUUUUAUCUUUAACAUCUCACAGUCUUGAAUAAUAUAUACCAUUCAUCUUUCUAUAUUUCUCUUUGUUCUGCUUUCAGAUGCCAGUGCUCUCCUGAAGUCUGUCUAUCCUUUCCUGUCUUCCCUUCUGGAUGAUUCCAUGCAUACCUCUACAAUGUAAUCUCUAUUACAGUGAAUUUAUGUGGUUGGCUCUGACCUUUCUCUGGAGCUCAAAAUCAGCCCUCCAGUACCCUCAUUCUGAUUGUUAUUUUGAGCCUGAAAAUCAGUAUGUCCCUUACAAAAAUCAUAUGUUUUCAUCCAAAUCCUGUUUGGUUUCCUCUUUUAUCCAUUACUCAUACUUUGCUGUUUUUCUCCUUAUGAUCUAUUCUUUGCCAAGUUAAAUAUGUCACUAGCCGUAUCUUCCCUAUGCUUCUUAUUCCAAAUUUUCAUGAAGUAUAUGAUCAUAUUAUAUAUAAAUUGCAUAAAUAUGUAUCAUAUAUGUAUAUAUAUAAUUAUGUAUGUAUUGUGUGUAAUAUAUUUAUUACAUAUAUGUAUUUCUGUUACAAAAGCUCACUUCCAUUUCUAUUGCACUUCAUUGCUAUAAAUGCGCCACCUGCUAGGAGUGCUAUCACCAAGGUGGUGACAUAGGUCAUUCCUGACUUUGCGCUACCUUACAGGAAUAACAACUAACAACUAUUCAUGAACAAGACACCACUCAAAGAAUCCUUGGAUAUGGAGGUGAGGCUGAUGAACCCCUGGUGUAAUACAGACAAGGACAGCCUCCAUCUGAAGGGUAAGAGGAGCCACUAUAUGUUGACCACAAUACCAUGCUGAGAGGUCUUCCCAGACCCUACGAUUCCACCAGUGGGAAACAGAACCAAGGGUAGACAUCCAGUCAUCCAGCCCCAUCCCCCCUUCUGCAUCACGUGUCUUUUCUUGGGAAUCCCACUCAGGUUUCAGCCCAUAGGAAUUUCAGGAGAAUCUCUGCGGCUUUACCAUUAGGGACCUCAUUAUGACUGAGAAAAGAGAGGGGCUUGAAACAGUCAGCAAUUAGAUCCCAGAAGACUGAAGUUCUACCUGCUAUGACCAAGUAGAAAUCCUGACCAACAGCUUUGCUUAUCUGCAGAACUAAGUUGGUGGUAUAUUAUGACCAGAGAACUAAGUGGGGUAUAACAUGUCUAUUUAGUGUCCUCGGAAAAAGGAUAUGUUGGUCCUGGAGCCUUGUCUGACCCACCCAGGGAGGUGAGCUGAGUUAUAUAACCCCAUGUUUUGCUGAGUGAAACUCCCAGCCCUGCAGACCAGAAAACUUAGACAGAAUGCGUGGAAAGCUAUAUACUCCAAAACACUUCCAGAAACCCUGGAAGCAGAGGUGAUAGUCUCCAGAGCAACACAAGUGACUCUGUUUGCCCAAAGAUCUUAGGAUAUGGGCUCACUUAAAAGCACAAACAAAGAACCUUGGUAGCCUUAGAGCUAGUUCUUCCACCACCCUUGGGCAGGAAAACUAAUUUGUAAACUUGCCCAUUCCUGAAUACAUAUUUCAGCUUGCCCAGUCAUGGAACUUAGCCAGAGCACAUAGGAAGCUACAUAGCACUUCCAACAGCCCUAUUUACAGUGGCACCUGAAGAGAGAGCACAACUGUUUGCUCUCUCUAUCUGCAAAGCAAAAUUAGUGGCCCUAUCUUAGAAAGAGUCAGUGUAAAAUCUUGACUUAAUUAGGAUCCCAAAAACAUGUUGCACAGACCCUGGUGGACUCUCUGCUACUGUGUAGGGCAGAGAAAGUAAUUUAUAGCCCCACUUAUUGCUGAGUAUAGUGUCCUGACUAGACAAUCCAGGUCUCUAGAACCCUCAUGGGAGCAGGAAACCAAGCCAGCAAUCUUGUACAAAUGUUUAAGUCAGGGACAUCCCCCACUCCAGAGCUUAUAUAGUUGCCUCCCCCAAAAUAUACCCCAAUAGUAGGCUCUAACUGCUUAAGGCUUUACCAGCAGAUGCAUCUAUAGAAACAAACUGAGCUGAGUGGUAGAGAAUUGACUCUGACAAAGCAAAAAAAAAAAAAAAAAAGGAAACUGCUUACUUAAAUAUGCAGGUACCAACAUUAGAAAUUAUCAAUCUCAAAAAUCUGGUAAACAUGAGAUAACUAAAACUAAUAAAACUUAGUAACUGACUAAAAAAUGAUCAGUGAACUGUCAGAAAAAGAUUUCAGAAUAAUUUUCUUAAAGAAGUUCAUAAGAACUACAAAAAACAGACAACUAAAUGAAAUUAUGUAAACAAUGCAUGAAAAAGUAUUUCAAUAAAGAAAUUGACAUAUCAAAAAACAACCAAAAAAAAUGCAGAAAUCCUAGAGCUGAAAAAUAUAAUCACUCAGCUGAAAAAUUUCAAUAGAGAGUUUCAAAAACAGAUUCACCAUGAAGAAGAAAGAAUCAGUUAAAUAGAAGAUAGAACAUUUGAAAUUAUCCUGUAAGUUAUCCAGUCAGAGAAGCAAAAAAUAAAAACAAUAAACAAAAUCUAUGGGACUUAUGGGACACAAUCAAAUAAACAAUAUCCACAUGAUGGGGAUUCCAGGAGAAGAGAACAAAAAAAGAGAAAUGUAUAUUUAAACAGUAGUGAAUGAAAAUUUCCUCAGUGUUGGAGAGAAAUACAUAAAGCCCAAAGGACUCCAAAAAGGUUGAACCUAAACAUGCUAUAACUGUCAAAGUACAAGACAAAGACUUUU
Molecule: non-coding RNA, 4074 nt
Organism: Sus scrofa (pig)
Lineage: Eukaryota; Metazoa; Chordata; Mammalia; Artiodactyla; Suidae
Source: RefSeq, a predicted model, not a curated record